This 253-nucleotide ribosomal RNA is filed under the name uncultured bacterium. Its description in RNAcentral is "partial 16S ribosomal RNA". It matches the Rfam family "Bacterial small subunit ribosomal RNA", at positions 524 to 776 of the family's 1533-position model. The record is from RNAcentral.
UACAGAGGUCCCAAGCGUUGUUCGGAUUCACUGGGCGUAAAGCGUGCGUAGGCGGUUUGAUAAGUCGGGUGUGAAAGCCCCGGGCUUAACCUGGGAAUUGCAUUCGAUACUGUCUGACUCGAGUCUGGGAGAGGGAAGCGGAAUUCCGGGUGUAGCGGUGAAAUGCGUAGAUAUCCGGAGGAACAUCAGUGGCGAAGGCGGCUUCCUGGACCGACACUGACGCUGAGGCGCGAAAGCUAGGGGAGCAAACGGG